Lathyrus oleraceus (garden pea) is the source of this 572-nucleotide long non-coding RNA. RefSeq lists it as uncharacterized. Lineage: Eukaryota; Viridiplantae; Streptophyta; Magnoliopsida; Fabales; Fabaceae. The record is from RefSeq and is a predicted model, not a curated record. The transcript has 2 exons.
CUUGAUUGGCCGUGAGCUUCGGAAUGGGAAAGUUGAAAAUCCUUUUGUGAAGUAUGGACAAGCUGGAUUGGCUAAGAAAGGAGAGGAUUACUUUCUGAUUAAAACAGAUUGCCACAGGGUUCCCGGCGAUCCAUCGACUGCGUUUUCUGUCUUUGCGGUUUUUUUGAUGGGCAUAACGGUAUAUCAGCUGCAACGGAACCACAGAUGAAAAACGUAGCAUGACAGCAGCAAGCCAAGAAAUCGUUUCCAAACACUUAUCUCCUUGUUGGAUGCUGCAAUGAUAAAACCACUCAUGUGCACAAAAGUACAACCUGGGAUUCCAGCAACCUCAGAUAGCCUGUCAUUUUCCAAACCCCUCCAAAGAUAUGGUAGUGGUUUUCUGCUCUCAAAUCUUGCCGGUGAAAUUGCCACUGCCUGUAGUCUCCAUUUCUCGCUCCUAUCAUCCUGGUAAAGAACAUAUUUGAUGGAAGGGUUGAUUUUCAUUUCCUCCUGGAGCUCAUGUAUGUGAAAUCUCCAAGGACAAGAUCGAUUUAGCUUUAUAAUCUCCCCACUAGAAUCAAUAGUUUCUCUUG